AUGGCGAGCAAAGCGGUGCUGGAUAAAAGAUGCCAAGUUCCAGAUUUCUACUGGCCGAAGAUGAAGAAGGUGGAGCAUAGCGGGGAUUGGGGCUCCCUUGACGCCAACGACAAGAAACUCACAAUCGCCGUGACUCGCAUACUUCGCCUCAGGGCCGCGAGACUCCCCCCUCUAGGACAAGAGAAGGCCAGGCUAGGACUACAAGAACGCAACUCACAUCAUGAGGGUGAGCGCUGGGCUCGGCACCAAGUUGACGGUGAUGAAACACUAAGUCCUCUGCCACCAGCUCUUCCGCAACACCGGCAAGUUCAAGUUGUCGGCAGGGGUGGUGCCUUUGUGCAACAACUCUGCUAA
Molecule: ribosomal RNA, 354 nt
Filed under: Triticum aestivum (bread wheat)
Lineage: Eukaryota; Viridiplantae; Streptophyta; Magnoliopsida; Poales; Poaceae
Description: partial small subunit ribosomal RNA
Source: RNAcentral